This 3568-nucleotide long non-coding RNA is filed under the name Vulpes vulpes (red fox). RNAcentral describes it as "lncRNA (ENSVVUG00000014524.1)". Lineage: Eukaryota; Metazoa; Chordata; Mammalia; Carnivora; Canidae. The record is from RNAcentral.
GCCUGGGGCUGGCGAGCUCCCCCGCCGCGCCGGGGCUUGGCGCUCCCCGGGGGCCGCCACCUGUCCGGCCCGGGCGCGGGGCGGCCGCUUCGCCCCCAGCUCUCGGAGGCGGCAGCGACAGGCAGGGGCAGGCACACGUGCGCCCGGCGGGCAGGCUCAGGCUUCUGCGGAGACGCGCCCGGCCAGCGCACCCCCCGAGCGCACUCGUGCGCGCGCGCACAGAAGCCCACGGGCGCAAAGUCACCCCUGCCCGGCGCGCACAGGAGCGCCCAGGCACAGAGCCAAGUAAGCAGGACGCUCAGCGCUCACGUGGAGGCAGGCAGAGAGCCACAGACUCGGACGUCCCCCUCCAGUGUUGCUCUCGGAUUUCUAGAAUGUACUGUUAUGGCCACAGAGUUCUUCCUCAUGACUACCCUUCUCUGGUGAAGAAGCUGAAAUACAAUUUAACCAAACCUGAAACUGAAAAGAAGACGAGAAGACCUGGGGCGAGCUGAAAUUUCAAAGGCUUAAGUUGAAAGAGAAUGUUCCUGGGGGGUGGGGGUGGGAGGGUGGCCCGGAAUAUUAGACUCACAAAAAACCAAUAGGGAGAGAAAAGCAUUAUCAAGGAAUUAGAAUAGACAAAAGAGGAAAAGUGAACCGAAAUAUUUUUGAGGAUAAACCGGAUCCUAAAAUGGAAACAAUGAAUUGAAAGGCAGGGUUUAAAAAAAAAAAAAAAAGCUGGUGCAACCAACAAAUAUGUUUUGAUCGCCCGCCACGGACGCCACUGUUGGUUCCCUGACCGGCUGAGAUCCUGGCCUCGGCGGGUUUGCGGCCUGGCGGCCAGUCGGGCAGUUGGCACCGAGCAAGAGCACGGAUCCGCUUCUCCGAGCUCUUGUUGGACGUGCUCUCCUGAUGGACGCGGCAGUUAUUUGCCAAGUGCAGCAGCGUGUGAUGUGCCCCGUCUGGCAUAACAAAGAUGUUGGCCUCCGCCUCUGUGAGGUUCCCAGUGCAGAGAGUGGAACCGGCCACGUCGGGGAGGCCGGGAGGGGAGAGACCUAAGGCCUUGCUUCCUGGUUCUGAUUACAGGAAAGUGGGGGAGAGCCGGGCAAACACAGCAGCCCCGGAGGGUUGCUAAGAGGGAAGGAGAAGGACGUAGGGCAGAGGCGCCCAGCUGACAUACCGAUGCGGCCCACCUGCUCGCCCAGGCCCUCAGAUCCCCAGAUUCCUACACCGAGGAGGGGCCCAAGGCCCAUAGGCGGGCAGGGGCUCACCCAACGUCACACAGCCAGUCGGAGGCAGUGCUGGCAGCGGAAUCCAGGACUCUUCCCAUUGCCCCAUCCUGUCACACUGAAGGGACAGCCCAGUGGUUAAUUAAAUGCAGGAUGUUCUGGAGUCAGGCUGACCUGGAUCUGUACCCUGCUUCUGCCACUUGCUGGUGGUCUUGUGAUCCUGGGCAAGUUUCUCUCUCCACCUGGAUGUCUCCAUCUGUUAAAUGGGGACUGUGAUUGUCAUUACUGGGAUGGCUUCCCUCCACCAUGGCCAUCCUCGCUUCCUUCCCUCCUGUGUGUGCCAUUGCCCCAUCAAAAGGUGGCGUUUUAAAAAAAAAAAAAAAAAAAGUGGCGUUUAUCUUUCACCCUCUUGGAUCUGGUCUGACUUGUGACUACCGCGACCGGCGACUACAGCCGACGUGACACUGUGGCAGUUCCAGAGCAAGUCUUUGUAAGGACUGGCAACUUCUGCCCGUGUCUCCUGAGUUACUUGCUCUGGAAGAAGAACUCCACUGAAUACACGAGCCAAAGACGGCCAUGCAGAGAGGCAGCUCAAGCAGGCUGGGAAGUGGAGAGGCUGCGAGGAGAGAGAUGCUUCUGCCCCUCUUCCAGCUAUUCCAUUGUAGCCUCAGCCUUUGGAUGACUCCAGCCUCAGGCCCUUGGGACUGCAGAUGCAUGAGAAGCUCCAAGCAAAACCUACCUAGCUGAGCCCCUUCCACAGUCAAAAGAGGUAAUCGUACAUUGAUGUUUUUAAGCCACAAAGGUUUAGGGGAUGCUUGUUACACAGCAGCGAUAAGGGGACCACGUGCUUACUGAGGCUAUUCGUGGAUCCAUGAGACAAUUAUGUAGAAUAGAAGUGGAGACACAUGAAAUAUGAAUGGUAGCUUUUUAUUUUAGUGGACUAAAUGCAAACAACAAACUCCAAACACCUCCGUCAGUCUCUACUAAAAAGCACAUUACAGCAUCCCUGAAUGAUGCAUUUGCAGACCACACGAAUGAACUUCCUUUUCCCUUCACCUGACAGUCUUUGAAGACAGCCCCUACGCCCUGCUCCAGCCAUACCAGCCUCCUCAGACCUUCCUAUGAGUCAGGUAUUUGCACAUGCUGUUCCCGGUGCCUAAAAGCCUUUCCUUCCCCCUGUUUACAUCUUUACUGCUUACUCAUCCCUCAGCUGAAUCAUCAUUUCCUCUGGAAGUGUAGGUCCCCACCCUCUGGGGAGAUGCCCUCAGAAUACGGUGCCCCUCUCCUUCCAACACUUAUCUCAGUUUUGCACCUUUGCAUGUAUUCGUGAGAUUAUGCAAUCACCAUAUUUCCCAGAAGACUCUCAGGGCAGGGACAACAUUGAUUUCAUUUGCCUUGGCUUAUCCCUAUAUCCCCCCAAACUAGCCCCAGUUGGAACCCGGCCACAUGUGGAUCCUCAGUAAAUGCUUUCAGUGAGCCAGCAAGUCAGCUCCCACUUCCCUUAUGCCUUUUCUUCUUCAUAUUGAGCAUCUCUAGUCCCUUUGGGGUGUAGGACUUGGUUUCAGCUUCAUUCCUCUUCCCUAUGCUCAGCUUCUGAUCUAGGCUCCUCAGCCUGUAGGUCCUGCCGUCUCAUCACCUUUAGGACUCUACCUUCAAGCCCUAAAACCUGAGGCUUAUUUAGUCUUUCUGCUAUUUUGGAAGGAGGCAUUUCUAAUACUAAGAGGUUCCUCUUCCAUGGUCAUCUGUUUCCAAACAAGGCAGUUUCUCCCUCAGACUUGAACAGUGGGUACCCAGGGCUGUUGGCAACAAUGCGAUGAGCAUGCCCUUCCCUGCAUCAAUUCUUGCAAUACCACACCCUCUCUUCUUUCAGCCGCCCUCUCCACUGCCCCAGCUAGAGCACCAAUCAUCCCUCAUCUGGAAUGUUCUCUCUCCCUCACACCAGCUGCCUCAGGAAUUUCCUGAACUACAAAUCUGCUCCUGUUACAUCCCUGCAUAGACUUCCAGUGAACCCUGCCUACCUUCAUUGUCUUUAGCAGAAGUUGCAAACUGGUGGCCACAUCUGGCCUAUAGAGGUCUUCAGCUUGGCCAAGGGAGUUGAAAGUAAUGAGGCACUAAUGUUUAAAAAUUUGGGACUUAUAAAAUUCCAGAUGCUCAAUUUCACUUAAAAAUAUCAACGUGUGGGCAGCCCUGGUGGCGCAGCGGUUUAGCGCCGCCUGCAGCCCAGGGUCUGAUCCUGGAGACCCAGGAUCAAGUCCCACAUCGGGCUCCCUGCAUGGAGCCUGCUUCUCCUUCUGCCUGUGUCUCUGCCUCUCUCUCUGUGUGUCUCUCAUGAACAACUUAAUAAAUAAAAUAUUUUUAAA